GACGAACGCUGGCGGCGUGCUUAACACAUGCAAGUCGAACGGAAAGGCCCUGCUUUUGUGGGGUGCUCGAGUGGCGAACGGGUGAGUAACACGUGAGUAACCUGCCCUUGACUGUGGUUUAACUUCAGGAAACUGGGGCUAAUACCGGAUAGGAGCUCCUGCUGCAUGGUGGGGGUUGGAAAGUUUCGGCGGUUGGGGAUGGACUCGCGGCUUAUCAGCUUGUUGGUGGGGUAGUGGCUUACCAAGGCUUUGACGGGUAGCCGGCCUGAGAGGGUGACCGGCCACAUUGGGACUGAGAUAGGGCCCAGACUGCUACGGGAGGCAGCAGUGGGGAAUAUUGCACAAUGGGCGGAGGCCUGAUGCAGCAACGCCGCGUGCGGGAUGACGGCCUUCGGGUUGUAAACCGCUUUCGCCUGUGACGAAGCGUGAGUGACGGUACUGGGUAAAGAAGCACCGGCUAACUACGUG
RNAcentral lists this ribosomal RNA (468 nucleotides) under uncultured bacterium. RNAcentral describes it as "partial 16S ribosomal RNA". It matches the Rfam family "Bacterial small subunit ribosomal RNA", at positions 28 to 507 of the family's 1533-position model. The record is from RNAcentral.